Long non-coding RNA from Trachymyrmex septentrionalis, 360 nucleotides. RefSeq lists it as uncharacterized. Lineage: Eukaryota; Metazoa; Arthropoda; Insecta; Hymenoptera; Formicidae. The record is from RefSeq and is a predicted model, not a curated record. The transcript has 2 exons.
CUAAUUUCUUCAGAUGAUGAUCGGCCAGAAAUUCCGUUCGAGGACGAUUUCAGCUCCAAAACGGCUGCACGCUUCGUUGACUGACUGCGUGCAAUCUCCUGACGUGGACGAUGGUGCGUCAUCAUUCGGUGUCAUCGUGUGUGUCAUUGCUCCAGUAUGCGAAUUGCAAAACUUUAUGUGAUAUUACUUAGUGUGACAGCACUUUUUUUAAUAACUAUGUCGAUAUCGUUGCACAAUCUCUAUAUUUUCACAUGAGCAAACAAGCCGAAUCUGUAUACUUCCUGUAUACAUUUACAUACCAUCCACUAUCAGAUUCUUUCACUGAAUAAAACAUUAUUUAUAUCUGAAUUUUAAAAGCCA